GAUGAACGCUGGCGGCGUGCCUAACACAUGCAAGUCGAGCGAACAGACGAUGAUCUUGCUCCUCUCACGUUAGCCGCGGGCGUGUGAGUAACACGUGGAUAACCCCCUUAUAUGUCUGGUAUCACUUCGGGAAUCCGGAUCUAAUCCCGUAGAAUAUAUUGAACCGCAUGGUUCAAUGGUGAAAUUCGGUUUUGCUGUCUCUUAUAGAUGGAUCCGCGCCUCUUUAGCUAGUUGGUAAGUUAACGGCUUUGCACGGCUACGAUGCGUAACCGAACGCAGAGAGGGAUCGCCCGCACUGGAAGGGAGCCACGGUCCAGAGUCCUGCGGGAGGCCGCAGUAGGGAAUGUUACGCAAUGGGCGAAAGCAUGACGGAGCAACGCGGCGUGAGUGAUGACGGUCUUCGGAUCGUAAAGCCCUGUUAUUAGGGAAGAACAAAUGUGUACGUAGAUAUGCACGUCUUGACGGUACCUAAUCAGAAAGCCACGGCUAACUACGUG
Molecule: ribosomal RNA, 497 nt
Filed under: uncultured bacterium
Lineage: Bacteria
Description: partial 16S ribosomal RNA
Rfam family: Bacterial small subunit ribosomal RNA
Source: RNAcentral